UCGUUUUGUUUUGUUUUUUUUUUAUAUUUGGCCCUAAAUCUCUGCCAGCAUUGUAGCUUGCUUUUCAUUACUUCGUGCAUGUAUCUUGAGUACGUUAUAGAACAGAUGUUAAGCUAUUCUCUGCAGUUUGUUUUUCUCACAUUCUUGACAGCAAACGACAGUAAGGAAUGGCAAAAACUGUGGAUGAUGUGUUUACAGCUUGAAAUGCAAAUAUUUAACCUCCCCUCCAUUAGUUUAAGAUCCAAUGGGACUCUUGAAUAGAUGUUUUGUCUGUGCGCUGCAUCAAGCCAAUAAAACGGACUCGAUCUUCUGGUUCAAUAAGUGGGAUCGAUGAGCAACCAUGUACAGUAGAUUGAGCACGAUACUGUUGGUGUUGGGUCUUGUAAUCACCCUCCAGUGCCUCGCAUACACCGAGGCAAUAAAUGCUAAAUGGACGCAUCUUAGACUUAAAACUGGAAAAAAGAGUUUGGGAAACAAGCUGGAGGCCAAAGAUGAAGAAGCGGGCCGAGCCGGGUUAUAUAGGGUUAUACAUAGGUCGAAGACUUUGUCGUGAUCCUGAAGCUUUCGAAUGUGAGAGUGAGGGCUAGUUCCUCUAUACAAGAACACAGAAUUAUCGUGAACUUCAAAUGAAGUUCAAUUGUUUUUUGGUAACGCGCCUUUGACUUAAAGUAAACUGCAUUCACAGUUAGAUCUGUCAAAAAUUGACAUUGUGUAAGCAAAUAAAAUAUAUGUGCAUGUAA
Long non-coding RNA from Pocillopora damicornis (cauliflower coral), 740 nucleotides. RefSeq lists it as uncharacterized. Lineage: Eukaryota; Metazoa; Cnidaria; Anthozoa; Scleractinia; Pocilloporidae. The record is from RefSeq and is a predicted model, not a curated record.